RNAcentral lists this ribosomal RNA (472 nucleotides) under uncultured bacterium. Its description in RNAcentral is "bacterial SSU rRNA". It matches the Rfam family "Bacterial small subunit ribosomal RNA", at positions 355 to 825 of the family's 1533-position model. The record is from RNAcentral.
UCGGGAAUUUUGGGCAAUGGGCGCAAGCCUGAUCCAGCCAUACCGCGUGGGUGAAGAAGGCCUUCGGGUUGUAAAGCCCUUUUGUUGGGAAAGAAAUCCAGCUGGCUAAUACCCGGUUGGGAUGACGGUACCCAAAGAAUAAGCACCGGCUAACUUCGUGCCAGCAGCCGCGGUAAUACGAAGGGUGCAAGCGUUACUCGGAAUUACUGGGCGUAAAGCGUGCGUAGGUGGUCGUUUAAGUCCGUUGUGAAAGCCCUGGGCUCAACCUGGGAACUGCAGUGGAUACUGGACGACUAGAGUGUGGUAGAGGGUAGCGGAAUUCCUGGUGUAGCAGUGAAAUGCGUAGAGAUCAGGAGGAACAUCCAUGGCGAAGGCAGCUACCUGGACCAACACUGACACUGAGGCACGAAAGCGUGGGGAGCAAACAGGAUUAGAUACCCAAGUAGUCCCUGAGCGGGCUGGCAAGGCGCAU